GACGAACGCUGGCGGCGUGCCUAAUACAUGCAAGUCGAGCGCAGGAAACUGACGGAACUCUUCGGAGGGAAGGCAGCGGAAUGAGCGGCGGACGGGUGAGUAACACGUAAGGAACCUGCCUCAAGGAUUGGGAUAACUCCGAGAAAUCGGAGCUAAUACCGGAUAGUUCAUCGGACCGCAUGGUCCGUUGAUGAAAGGCGCUUCGGCGUCACCUUGAGAUGGCCUUGCGGUGCAUUAGCUAGUUGGUGGGGUAACGGCCCACCAAGGCGACGAUGCAUAGCCGACCUGGGAGGGUGAUCGGCCACACUAGGACUGAGACACGGCCCAGACUCCUACGGGAGGCAGCAGUAGGGAAUCUUCCACAAUGGACGAAAGUCUGAUGGAGCAACGCCGCGUGAGUGAUGAAGGUUUUCGGAUCGUAAAACUCUGUUGUAAGGGAAGAACACGUACGAGAGGGAAUGCUCGUACCUUGACGGUACCUUACGAGAAAGCCACGGCUAACUACGUGCCAGCCGCCGCGGUAA
Molecule: ribosomal RNA, 524 nt
Filed under: uncultured bacterium
Lineage: Bacteria
Description: partial 16S ribosomal RNA
Rfam family: Bacterial small subunit ribosomal RNA
Source: RNAcentral